GAGCGAUUCUCCCAAGAACUCUUCGCAUGUCUAAGCAAUAUGAGUCGACGAGCAGCAACUGACGAUAGGGUUGUUGUUGGGGUCUGUGUAGAAGUCGAAAUCUGCUGCUGAUCUUGAUUGGUUUCAAUUACAAGAGAACCAACACCACUACUAGAUGAAGCAACCAUAACACAUUUUGGGCUUUUCUUGAUUUGGGAUUUUU
Molecule: unclassified non-coding RNA, 202 nt
Filed under: Hevea brasiliensis (rubber tree)
Lineage: Eukaryota; Viridiplantae; Streptophyta; Magnoliopsida; Malpighiales; Euphorbiaceae
Source: RNAcentral